AUUGAACGCUGGCGGCAUGCUUUACACAUGCAAGUCGAACGGUAACAGGUUAAGCUGACGAGUGGCGAACGGGUGAGUAAUGCAUCGGAACGUGCCCGGUCGUGGGGGAUAACGCAGCGAAAGCUGCGCUAAUACCGCAUACGAUCUGAGGAUGAAAGCGGGGGACCGUAAGGCCUCGCGCGAUCGGAGCGGCCGAUGUCAGAUUAGGUAGUUGGUGGGGUAAAGGCUCACCAAGCCAACGAUCUGUAGCUGGUCUGAGAGGACGACCAGCCAAACUGGGACUGAGACACGGCCCAGACUCCUACGGGAGGCAGCAGUGGGGAAUUUUGGACAAUGGGCGAAAGCCUGAUUCAGCAAUGCCGCGUGCAGGAAGAAGGCCUUCGGGUUGUAAACUGCUUUUGUACGGAGCGAAAAGGUCUCCUCUAAUACAGGGGGCUCAUGACGGUACCGUAAGAAUAAGCACCGGCUAACUACGUGCCAGCCGCCGCGGUAA
This 493-nucleotide ribosomal RNA is filed under the name uncultured bacterium. RNAcentral describes it as "partial 16S ribosomal RNA". It matches the Rfam family "Bacterial small subunit ribosomal RNA", at positions 30 to 523 of the family's 1533-position model. The record is from RNAcentral.